GUCCAUUAACUAAACAUAUCUGAAUUUCGUGCAGGUAAGCAGCAUAAGAGCAGCAUGCCCUGGUCACCAGAUAUUGACAACUUUUAGUGAACCUUGGUCACCAGAUUGACAAUAGCUACUUGGGUUGAUCUCCUUGCAAGAUAAUUAGUGCUUGGUACUGCUUAGUACUGGUUAAAUUACCAGUUUAACAAGUCUAGAUGCCUAUUGUAGUGAACUGCAAUCUUUUUUUCAGGUUAAGGGAUAGUGAAUUGCAAUUAAGUUGCUCUGGGUGCUUGGUACUGGAUUCGAUUUGCUGUUUUGUUCUAAGUUUUCCCUUUCCUGUGAGGAUUGUACCUAAAAUGGUUUCUUCCAAGAAGACGUUUGCUCGGAGAAAGGUUAGGUUAUUUCAUGCCUUUGCAGUUGCAGCUAACUAAUCAUCUACAAAAUGAUUAUUCUUUUGGCUACCAGUUCAAUAAUUAUUGAAGCUCAUUUGAAGUUCAUGAUGUUCAUCAAUAGUCAUUUAAGCAGAAGUCCCUGGCUGGAAAUAAGGAUGCAGAUUAGAUAAUUAUGGUGACUUUAGAGAUAGUUGUCGAUUGAUAUGAAUGACUUCAAAAGAUUGUGUAUGUGUAUGUGUAUGUGUAUCUGUAAUGUAUAUAUGGAUAGAUCCUAUAUAUUUGUGACGUAAAUAAGACCUAUUU
Molecule: long non-coding RNA, 677 nt
Organism: Panicum virgatum (switchgrass)
Lineage: Eukaryota; Viridiplantae; Streptophyta; Magnoliopsida; Poales; Poaceae
Exons: 3
Source: RefSeq, a predicted model, not a curated record